This 460-nucleotide ribosomal RNA is filed under the name uncultured bacterium. RNAcentral describes it as "partial 16S ribosomal RNA". It matches the Rfam family "Bacterial small subunit ribosomal RNA", at positions 338 to 795 of the family's 1533-position model. The record is from RNAcentral.
CCUACGGGGGGCAGCAGUGAGGAAUAUUGGUCAAUGGACGAGAGUCUGAACCAGCCAAGUAGCGUGAAGGAUGACUGCCCUAUGGGUUGUAAACUUCUUUUAUAUGGGAAUAAAACGUUCCACGUGUGGGAUUUUGUAUGUACCAUAUGAAUAAGGAUCGGCUAACUCCGUGCCAGCAGCCGCGGUAAUACGGAGGAUCCGAGCGUUAUCCGGAUUUAUUGGGUUUAAAGGGAGCGUAGGUGGAUUGUUAAGUCAGCUGUGAAAGUUUGCGGCUCAACCGUAAAAUUGCAGUUGAAACUGGCAGUCUUGAGUACAGUAGAGGUGGGCGGAAUGCGUGGUGUAGCGGUGAAAUGCUUAGAUAUCACGAAGAACUCCGAUUGCGAAGGCAGUUCACUGGACUGCAACUGACACUGAGGCUCGAAAGUGUGGGUAUCAAACAGGAUUAGAUACCCUGGUAGUC